UAGGGAAUCUUCGGCAAUGGACGACAGUCUGACCGAGCAACGCCGCGUGAGUGAAGAAGGUUUUCGGAUCGUAAAACUCUGUUGUUAGAGAAGAACAAGGACGUUAGUAACUGAACGUCCCCUGACGGUAUCUAACCAGAAAGCCACGGCUAACUACGUGCCAGCAGCCGCGGUAAUACGUAGGUGGCAAGCGUUGUCCGGAUUUAUUGGGCGUAAAGCGAGCGCAGGCGGUUUCUUAAGUCUGAUGUGAAAGCCCCCGGCUCAACCGGGGAGGGUCAUUGGAAACUGGGAGACUUGAGUGCAGAAGAGGAGAGUGGAAUUCCAUGUGUAGCGGUGAAAUGCGUAGAUAUAUGGAGGAACACCAGUGGCGAAGGCGGCUCUCUGGUCUGUAACUGACGCUGAGGCUCGAAAGCGUGGGGAGCAAACAGG
This 429-nucleotide ribosomal RNA is filed under the name Gemmatimonadota bacterium. RNAcentral describes it as "Gemmatimonadetes bacterium partial 16S ribosomal RNA". It matches the Rfam family "Bacterial small subunit ribosomal RNA", at positions 355 to 776 of the family's 1533-position model. The record is from RNAcentral. Lineage: Bacteria; Pseudomonadati; Gemmatimonadota.